GCCGGGCCGGGCUGAGCUGAGGCGAGGGGACGGUGCCGCCGGCCGCCAUCCCCAGGUUGAGAUUUACAUCACUGUCAACGUGUCUGCAUCAAUUUCAGCUGGUUUGGAUGCCUUUAUGUGGAAGAGGCACAUUUGAACACAAUUUAUUCUUUUGUAGAACUGAAUUAGGGAAAUAAUUCCAUUUUGCAAGCCUAAAAAACAUAAGCUUCCCUCCAGUUCAGUUCACACGUAAUGUGUGAUCCUCACUGAUUCAUAAAGUGUCUGAGAGGAAAAUGCUAGAUUGAUCCUGGCAUUUACCAGGCAUUAGCACUUCCCUUCUUUAGUAAAAAAGACAGGAAGUCGAUGGUUCACAUUUUUAUGAGGCCUUUUGGAUACAGGUUUCAUCUGAAAAUAGUUAUGUUAUUAAAAAGAUGUGCAGUAAUGUGUUGUAAUAAUACUUAAUAUAAAUGUAAAAUGCUUUUUGGAAUAAAUUCUGGGCUGAAUAAUACCUCACUGGACAUAUAGGCAAAAAUUUUAUCGUUUAAAGCUGAAAUAACCUCAGAAUUCAGGCUUAACAUAUGACUCAGUAGGGUUUUUUCUUAAGUAUUUACUGUUGCAUAUUUAGAUUGUACAAUCAAGGUCUUUCUUUGCUAAUUAGCCUCAAAAUAGCUGGUAAUAGAAUCCACUUCUUUGAUUUCCAAGGGGGUGUCAGUGCUAUGAAGAAAUGAACUUCAUUUCAUGGCAAAACUGGUUGCAGGUGUACCAGAGAAAACCCAGUUAAAACAGUGGUAUUUUUAUAUAA
Molecule: long non-coding RNA, 781 nt
Organism: Pezoporus flaviventris
Lineage: Eukaryota; Metazoa; Chordata; Aves; Psittaciformes; Psittacidae
Exons: 2
Source: RefSeq, a predicted model, not a curated record